Molecule: transfer RNA, 70 nt
Filed under: Sporopipes frontalis
Lineage: Eukaryota; Metazoa; Chordata; Aves; Passeriformes; Ploceidae
Description: tRNA-Glu
Rfam family: tRNA
About the family: Transfer RNA (tRNA) molecules are approximately 80 nucleotides in length. Their secondary structure includes four short double-helical elements and three loops (D, anti-codon, and T loops).
Source: RNAcentral
GUUCCUAUAGUUAAAAUUAUAACAGCGGCUUUUCAGGCCGUAGGUCUCGGAGAAAAGCCGGGUAGGAAUU